CUGAGAGAACAGGAGAGAGAGAGGUCUGAGAGAACAGGAGAGAGAGAAGUCUGAGAGAACAGGAGAGAGAGAGGUCUGAGAGAACAGGAGAGAGAGGUCUGAGAGAACAGAGGAGAGAGAGGUCUGAGAGAACAGGGGAGAGAGAGAGGUCUGAGAGAACAGGAGAGAGAAGGGUCUGAGAGAACAGGAGAGAGAAGGGUCUGAGAGAACAGGAGAGAGAAGGGUCUGAGAGAACAGGAGAGAGAAGGGUCUGAGAGAACAGGAGAGAGAAGGGUCUGAGAGAACAGGAGAGAGAGAGGUCUGAGAGAACAGGGGAGAGAGAGGUCUGAGAGAACAGGGGAGAGCGAGAGAGAGAGAGAGUUAUAGUGGAGAGGCACGAUCACAGACUUCCACACCAACACUUAAAUAUGGAGCCACUUGCUUUAGGUCUGAAAAUAUAUUUUUGGCCUCAUAUCAAUGUACGUAUCACAAUUUUAAUGAGUAAAGAAAACAGUAUAAAAUAUAUAAUAUUUACAAAUAAUCUCCAUACUGUAGUCUAACCCCACAACAUCUUCCCAUUGCUGAAAAUGACUUGUUCAAGACCAAGCUAUGCUCUUCCCCCCUCAAAAGUCAACUUUUCAACAACCAAUCAAAAUGCUCAUUCUGGUUGCAGAGGGUGCUUUCCUUCCACCACAUUGGUCUGUGAUAGACUAAACGAUGAUCUGGGGAGUGGGUCCCUUGCCUGUGAACACUGCAAAGCUGAAACUGGAAGAAUGUAUGAACGCACACAAUCUGAGUGGAGUUGACAGAGGCAGGACCAACCACAGAGACAAACAAAAGAUCUAUAGAGUGAUCAAACCAACAGAGAGAGCAGACAGUCGAGAGUAAGAAAGAAAGGAGAAGGGAGGAAGACCUGAAAGGGAACUUUGUGAGGGUGACGGAGGAGGAGUGGUGGAGGAGGAGGGUGGAGAGGAGGCCGGUGGGGGGUGUAUAUGUGACCCAGCGACCAACGGCUAGAGGGGUACAUGAUGACCUAUAGGGGGAGGAACAUAGAGGUCACAGAGAGGUCAAAGGGGGCCUGCUCGGCAACAGCACGGCAACAACACUGAAACCGUAUGGUAACAGUUUGGUAACGCCAUAGUAACACCACUGCAACGAUGGUAGAACACCAGGGACACACCAAAGGAACAUUUCAUUUUGGCAAAAGAACACACAUACAUACACACAAGGAUGUGGUAGAGAAAGGAGGACAAGACAGAGGAAGAUUUUAAAACUAAGCCGUAUCUGUCCUACCAGGAGGAGAGUAGGAGAGGAGGAGGAGAGAAGCAGAUAAGGAGGAGGAGGAGAGGAGGAAAGGAGAGAAGAAGAGGAGAGGAGAAGGAGAGGAGGAGGUGGAGAGGAGCAGGAGGAAAGGAGAGAGGAGGAGAGGAGGAGAAGAGAGGAGGAGAGGAGGAGAAGAGAAGGACAUAAGGAGGAGAGAAGGAGAAGAGGAGAGGAGGUGGAGAGGAGGAAAGGAAAGAGGAGGUGGAGAGUAGGAGGAGAGAAGGAGGAGGAGAGAAGGAGUAGUGGAGGUGGAGAGGAGGAAAGGAGAGAGAAGGAGGAGAGGUGGAGAGGAGGAGGGGGAAAGGAGACGAGGAGGGGGAAAGGAGAGAGGAGGUGGAGAGGAGGAGGAGGAAAGGAGAGAGGAGGAGGAGAGGAGUACAGAAGGAGAGGAGGAGGAGGAACAGUAAUCCAUGGGUUUACACAGACAUAGAAGUGCUGCAAAAUAAUGACUGAACAGCUGCUGGAGGGAAUAUUAAGUGAAUCCUGCAGCAUGCUUCACUGUAGUUCCCUCCGCAGCACUACACAAGCCAUUAACUACAUUACCCACACACACAACACAAACACAUGCGCACACACACAUGCAGGCAUAUGCUCAAAAGCACACACAGACACGUGCACACAGACACACUUUCAGGGCAGGCGGUUAAUGUAACAGCAGCGGAGUCAUGCCAUUGUCCAUCAUCUCUGUGACAUGAACACACACACAAACAAACACACACACAGAUGAGAGAGGGAAAGAAAACCUAAUCUCCAACCCACUAGAUAGCAGCACUACUAUGACUACAUAUAUUAUAUGACCUCCAACAGCACAGAGAGAGAGACAAACAUGUCCCCCGACUCAC
Oncorhynchus keta (chum salmon) is the source of this 2144-nucleotide long non-coding RNA. RefSeq lists it as uncharacterized. The transcript is spliced from 3 exons. The record is from RefSeq and is a predicted model, not a curated record. NCBI's taxonomy places the organism in Eukaryota, Metazoa, Chordata, Actinopteri, Salmoniformes, Salmonidae.